CAAACUUAAUGCGUAACAAGUCGCAUUUAACCCUGGAAGGAUUACAAGAAAUCAAGAAAAUAAAAGAGGGAAUGAAUAAAAGUAGAAAAAUUUAAUUGUAUGAAAAAUAAGGCCGCCAUGGAAGCUAGGUGAUCUUACCAUGUCCAGAUUUAAAGGUGUAUAACUGAGGGAUCGAACGGGUGAAUGUUGCAGAAUUCUCCGAUGAGAUGUGGUAAGGUGUGAAAUGCUAAUCGUACCUAGUGAUAGCUGGUUUUUUGCGAAACUUCUUACAGGGGGGCGUCUACACAAAAUUAAUGGAGGUACAGCACUAAGAAUUCCAAGCCGCUAAAUGCGUAAGUCUUUGGUUGAGGGGCCGUGGAAAGCCUACCGUUGGGAGUUAAACUCGAAAUUACAUUAAUUUAUGGUAGAUAGUCAGACUGCUAUUCCUAAGUAGGGUAGUCAAAACGAAAACAGUCGAGAACACUAAAUAAGGUCCCAAAUUGGUUAAUAAGUGAAAAUAAGGAAGUAGCUAAUCGUAAUCGGCUGUAAAGUUAGCCUGGUAGUCGCUACUUUUAAUGAACGUAUAGUAACAACGCAGCAGCUUUAAGAGUGAGGCGCCUAAAAUUUAACGGGUCUUUGGUUUUUUAAUUUAGUUAAUAAAAUAAAAACAAAGUAAUCAACCGAUUUAGUGUUAAUUAUAAUUUUAGAAAACUGGUACUUUAAUUAAUUUUUCUUUCUACCCCAGCCUUAGAGAAAAAAAAAUAUACCCAGGGCCUUGGGUGUUUAUAAAAAAAAAUAAAACAAAGUUUAAAGUACCCUAUUUAUUUCUAUUUUAUAAUUAGGUAGCAAAACAUUCAGACACGAAUGAAGUAUAGUGUUUCAUUAUAUGGACGUAAUUGAAGAGAUAAUGCUGGCAUGAGUAACGAAAAGUAGUUUUUAAUACUACUCGCCGAAUACGAAAGGGUUGAUAGACAAGGUUGUACCGCCUAUCGUAAUAACGGUCUCUAAGGUCCAGAACAAAUGUUUUGGCUGAUGAGGUUUGAAUAAAAAGUCCAAAAGCAUUCUAAAUGUCUAACUCGCUAUGCGCGAAAUUUAGUACCAAUUUGAAAUGCUAUACUAUCGAUUAGUUAAAAAUAUUUGGACCAGGAAAAAAUAUUCAUUACAACCGUACCUUAAACCGACACUGGUUCGUGGGUAGAGAAUACUAAGGCGAAGAGUGAAUACUUGUUAAGGAACUCGGCAAGUUGUCCUUGUAAGUUUAACCAGAAGAGGAGCCAUAUCGUUUAAUUUCUUAUAGGUUACAAAAAAUCGGAGGCCCCGACUGUUUACUAAAAACACAUCUCUAUGCGAAGAAUUAAUUAUCUGUAUAUGGAGAGAGGUUUGCCAAAUGCCAUUUAGUAUAAGUGAGGUGAUGAAAAGAAUUUUACUAAACGAAUGCCUGGUCAAUGGCGGUCUUAACCAUGAGGAUCCAAAGGUAGCAUAAUAAUUUGGCCUUUAAAUGAGGUCUUGUAUCAAUAAUCGUACGAUGGUCUCACUGUCUCAACAAGUAACUCAGUGAAAUUG
Molecule: ribosomal RNA, 1542 nt
Filed under: Auricularia heimuer
Lineage: Eukaryota; Fungi; Basidiomycota; Agaricomycetes; Auriculariales; Auriculariaceae
Description: 16S ribosomal RNA
Rfam family: Bacterial large subunit ribosomal RNA
Source: RNAcentral